AUAAAAUAGAACAGCGUGGUUAUAAACGACACGUCUGUUUUUCCACUCAGAAGAGACGCUUCAUACAAUUAUUAUAGAACUUCACUUAAGGUCUGAGACGAUUUUCUGGUGUUUAAUUACUGUCUACGUGGUGCAUCUCGAUACUUCAUCAGCUGCUAAGGAGGCGUAGUGAACGGCAAAAGGAUGAAUUUACGUUUCUUCGAGUUUUUUUGGUAGUUGCUUCUCGUCUUCGCAAUAGCUUAAGGCGAAAUCGAUUCCUGACUUAGCAUCAAGAAGGAAAUACGCUAAUACUUACGGAAAUGUAUUCUCCUUCUCCGAGAUAUUCUUGCGGAGGACUUUAUGCACGAAAUUGCCAGUUGAUGAUGUACAAUAUGUACCCUGGAGGACUUCCGUCGCACAAAUCUAUUUCCAUGAUUCACAACCAGCUUUAAUUUUUAUCGGAAUGGAACAGAACGUGUUUCGAAGAAUAUGUGUGUCUUAUAAAAUCUGUAAGCUCUCAGUGCUUGACCAAUUUUUCGAGAGCAAUCAGCUAAGAGGUCGUAAGAAAUAUGUUAAAGGGUGCCGCAUCCGCUUCUAAAGCCAUAUAUCGAAUGCAAAAAGAAACAAAAAUACUGUAGCUUUUUCAUUAUUGUUUUAGCUACUAUUCGAGGAUGUCUUGGACUUCCUCUGUAUUAUUUACCAAUGAGGUAUAUCUUACUUCUUCAAAAGAGAUAGCGCAUUAUCUCAAACAGAAUUACAAGAAGGGAAAUUUAUCUUCAUAUUGCAGUUAUUUCGUGGUUUAUUUGGUCUCUUGAUUGAAGACUAUUAUUUUCAAUUUGUAGGAAAGACAAUUGUAACGAAAGUUCAUUUUCAUGAUAUUAUUAGUUCUUUGGUAGUUAUUAUUUCGAUUUUAAAAUAUUUAAACCCUGAUCAUGAAAAAAACAAUCCGAUAAAUUGUCAGUAAAAACUUUACAAGUCAU
This is a long non-coding RNA of Belonocnema kinseyi, 959 nucleotides long. RefSeq lists it as uncharacterized. The transcript has 3 exons. NCBI's taxonomy places the organism in Eukaryota, Metazoa, Arthropoda, Insecta, Hymenoptera, Cynipidae. The record is from RefSeq and is a predicted model, not a curated record.